RNAcentral lists this ribosomal RNA (860 nucleotides) under Fragosphaeria reniformis. Its description in RNAcentral is "partial large subunit ribosomal RNA". It matches the Rfam family "Eukaryotic large subunit ribosomal RNA", at positions 71 to 960 of the family's 3401-position model. Lineage: Eukaryota; Fungi; Ascomycota; Sordariomycetes; Ophiostomatales; Ophiostomataceae. The record is from RNAcentral.
GGGAUUGCCCCAGUAACGGCGAGUGAAGCGGCAACAGCUCAAAUUUGAAAUCUGGCCCCCCGGGCCCGAGUUGUAAUUUGGAGAGGAUGCUUCUGGCGCGGCGCCUUCCGAGUGCCUUGGAACAGGCCGCCAUAGAGGGUGAGAGCCCCGUACGGUUGGACGCCAAGCCGGUUCGAAGCUCCUUCGACGAGUCGAGUAGUUUGGGAAUGCUGCUCAAAAUGGGAGGUAAAUUUCUUCUAAAGCUAAAUACCGGCCAGAGACCGAUAGCGCACAAGUAGAGUGAUCGAAAGAUGAAAAGCACUUUGAAAAGAGGGUUAAACAGUACGUGAAAUUGUUGAAAGGGAAGCGCCCGGGGCCAGACUUGCACCCCGCGGACCACCCGGCGUUCCGCGCCGGUGCACUCCGCGGGGCGCAGGCCAGCAUCGGUUCUUCCAGGGGGAGAAAGGCCGCGGGAACGUAGCUCCUCCGGGAGUGUUAUAGCCCGCGGCGCCAUGCCCCUGGGGGGACCGAGGACCGCGCUUCGGCAAGGAUGCUGGCGUAAUGGCCCCCGGCGACCCGUCUUGAAACACGGACCAAGGAGUCAAGCAUUGGGGCGAGUGUUUGGGUGCCAAACCCGCACGCGAAAUGAAAGUAAACGCAGGUGAGAGCUUCGGCGCAUCAUCGACCGAUCCUGAUGUCUUCGGAUGGAUUUGAGUAAGAGCCUUACCGCUUGGACCCGAAAGAUGGUGAACUAUGCCUGUAUAGGGUGAAGCCAGAGGAAACUCUGGUGGAGGCUCGCAGCGGUUCUGACGUGCAAAUCGAUCGUCAAAUAUGGGCAUGGGGGCGAAAGACUAAUCGAACCAUCUAGUAGCUGGUUACCG